This 2946-nucleotide ribosomal RNA is filed under the name invertebrate metagenome. RNAcentral's name for it is "bacterial LSU rRNA". It matches the Rfam family "Bacterial large subunit ribosomal RNA". The record is from RNAcentral.
CUAAGUUAUUAAGGGCUACUGGUGGAUGCCUUGGCAUCAACAGGCGAUGAAGGACGUGUUUACCUGCGAAAAGCCUCGGGGAGCUGGAAAGAAGCUUUGAUCCGGGGAUGUCCGAAUGGGGAAACCCGGCGGGAGUAAAGUCCCGUCAUCAUUGACUGAAUACAUAGGUCAAUGAGGCGAUACCCACCGAACUGAAACAUCUCAGUAAGUGGAGGAAAAGAAAUCAACCGAGAUUCCCAUAGUAGCGGCGAGCGAAGUGGGAAUAGCCCAAACCGUUUUCCUUGUGAAAGCGGGGUUGUAGGACCGUUCAAAAGAUCAGUAAUCUCUAACAGAAGACCUCAGGAAAGUGGCACCAUAGAGGGUGAUAGUCCCGUACGUGAAAGAGAGAGCUGGCAGGAACGGCACCUGAGUAGGGCCGGACACGUGAAACCCGGUCUGAAUCUGGGGAGACCACUCUCCAAGGCUAAAUACUCGUUGAUGACCGAUAGUGAACCAGUACCGUGAGGGAAAGGCGAAAAGAACCCCUGUUAGGGGAGUGAAAUAGAACCUGAAACCAGUAGCUUACAAGCGGUCAGAGGCCUAUGCUCCUUUUAGGAGAAUGGCUGAUGGCGUGCCUUUUGCAUGAUGAGCCAGCGAGUUGCGUUAUACAGCAAGGUUAAGGGACUACGUUCCGCAGCCGAAGCGAAAGCAAGUGUGAAUAGCGCGUUUAGUUGUAUGUCGCAGACACGAAACCAGGUGAUCUAACCAUGGCCAGGUUGCAGCAGGGGUAAGACCUUGUGAAGGACCGAACCAGUACACGUUGAAAAGUGUUUGGAUGAGCUGUGGUUAGGGGUGAAAGGCCAAUCAAACCUGGAAAUAUCUUGUUCUCUCCGAAAUAACUUUAGGGUUAGCCUCGGUUUAGACCAAAUUGGGGGUAGAGCACUGGAUCCCGGCGGGGGCUUCACCGCUUACCAAUGGGAACCAAACUCCGAAUACUAAUUUGGAUACCGGGAGAUACACUGUGGGGGAUAAGCUUCAUAGUGGAAAGGGGAACAGCCCAGACCGUCGAUUAAGGCCCCUAAUUCUAUGCUAAGUGAGUAAGGAAGUGGAGUCUCAGAAACAGUUGGAAUGUUGGCUUAGAGGCAGCCACCAUUUAAAGAGUGCGUAAUAGCUCACCAAUCGAGAGACUUUGCGCCGAUAAUAUAUCGGGGCUAAGUAUAGAGCCGAAAUCACGGGUGAAGAAAAUCUUCGGAUUUUCUUCGCGGUAGGAGAGCGUAGUAUAUGCGUCGAAGGUAUACCGUAAGGAGUACUGGAGCGUAUACUAGUGAGUAUGCAUGGCACGAGUAUACGAUAAAGGAAGUGAGAAUCUUCCUCGCCGAAAAUCCAAGGUUUCCAGGGUAAAGCUCGUCUUCCCUGGGUUAGCCGGCCCCUAAGCCGAGGCCGAAAGGCGUAGGCGAUGGGAAACAGGUUAAAUAUUCCUGUGCCACCUAAAAUUUAUGCAAUGGGGUGACGAAGUAUAUUAAGCACGCGGACUGUUGGUAGUGUCCGUACGGCUGUGAGGAUGGUUAGUAGGCAAAUCCGCUAACAUGAUUCCAGGCAGCUGUCAAGGGAAAGCUUAGGCGGAACCGAUGGUGUGGCGUUAAGCUUCCAAGAAAUAACCUCUAGCUGUUGAUGGUGACCGUACCAAAACCGACACAGGUGGAUGAGAUGAAUAUUCUAAGGCGCGCGAGCGAACUCUCGUUAAGGAACUCGGCAAAUUAUCCUUGUAACUUCGGGAAAAAAGGAGCCACAGGGUGUGAUUAGACUUGCUCUAUGAGCAUCAGGUGGCCGCAGAGAAAUGGCCCAGGCGACUGUUUAUCAAAAACACAGCACUAUGCAAAGACUUUAAGUCGAAGUAUAUGGUGUGAUGCCUGCCCAAUGCCAAAAGGUCAAACGGAGGUGUUAGCUUUGGCGAAGCACUGAAGUUAAGCCCUGGUGAAUGGCGGCCGUAACUAUAACGGUCCUAAGGUAGCGAAAUUCCUUGUCGGGUAAGUUCCGACCUGCACGAAUGGCAUAACGAUCUGGGCGCUGUCUCAACGAGAGGCUCGGUGAAAAUGUAGUAGCGGUGAAGAUGCCGUUUACCCGCGACAAGACGGAAAGACCCCGUGAACCUUUACUGUACUCUGAUAUUGGCUCCUGACUUGUCAUGUGUAGGAUAGCCGGGAGACGUUGAAAGUGUGUCGUCAGGCAUGCUGGAGUCGUCCUUGAAAUACCGGUCUUGGCAAGUUGGGAAUCUAACGAAGUCCCAUGAAUCUGGGAUUCGGACCGUGUCAGACGGGCAGUUUAACUGGGGCGGUUUCCUCCUAAAAAGUAACGGAGGAGUCCAAAGCUUACCUCAUCAUGGUUGGUAAUCAUGAGUAGAGCGCAAAGGUAUAAGGUAAGUUGACUGCGAGACCAACAAGUCGAGCAGAGACGAAAGUCGGGCUUAGUGAUCCGGCGGUAGAAUGUGGAAUCGCCGUCGCUCAACGGAUAAAAGGUACUCCGGGGAUAACAGGCUUAUCGCCACCAAGAGUUCAUAUCGACGUGGCGGUUUGGCACCUCGAUGUCGGCUCAUCGCAUCCUGGGGCUGUAGAGGGUCCCAAGGGUUUGGCUGUUCGCCAAUUAAAGCGGUACGCGAGCUGGGUUCAAAACGUCGUGAGACAGUUUGGUCCCUAUCUGUCGUGGGCGUAGGAUACUUGAGAGGAGCUGCUUCUAGUACGAGAGGACCGAAGUGGACGAACCACUGGUGUUCCGGUUGUCCUGCCAAGGGCAUUGCCGGGUAGCUAAGUUCGGAAAGGAUAAGCGUUGAAAGCAUCUAAACGCCAAGCCUCCCUUUAGAUAAGGUAUCCCAAUUAGACCCCUUAAAGACGAUAAGGUUGAUAGGCAGGGUGUGUAAGCAUAGUAAUAUGUUGAGCUAACCUGUACUAAUAGGUCGAUUGAUUUAGUCAC